Molecule: long non-coding RNA, 8696 nt
Organism: Harpia harpyja (harpy eagle)
Lineage: Eukaryota; Metazoa; Chordata; Aves; Accipitriformes; Accipitridae
Exons: 3
Source: RefSeq, a predicted model, not a curated record
GUAUCUUUCUGGUGCAGCAUUUUAAAAAGCAUUAGCACUGUUUAAAUUGGUGAUUGUGUGAAAAUGAAGCCAGCAUCCUGUUUGUACAGUCUUAUAGCAUACAUAAUAGGCUUCCCUUCCUGUAUUCAUAGAAAAAAUAUUCCGUGUCUGGUAAAGUAAGUGAACAGUGAAGAAAGUAUGUGGAUAUAAAAACCUCAGUGAUGAUAUUUUUAGCUCUUACAGAUGAAGUUAACUUCCAGACCUAUUAAGCGUAUAUCAGGCCAGGAUGUGUUUAGAAGUAAGAAAAGUAGCAAUGAAGUAAAAAGGGAAUUCAGUGCAGGGAUAUAAUUAAGUUGUGAAUUGAUCUAUUUCUAGAGGGACAGUACCUUUGAACUAAAAAUGAUUUUAGUCAGGUGAAGGAUCUUGUAGGGCAUGUCAGGGAGUCACUGGACUUGGCUUUGGUAAAUAAAUGCAAAAAUGAGUUCCUUCUAUUCUUGUAUUUCAGUGCCAUGUCCUUUAGAUUUUAUGGGGCCAAUGUAUUAUUUUAAAACCUCCAGAACUUGGUUCUGAAGUCAGGAGUUUCCUGAAUCAUAUACUGAUGGUGUAGAUUUUCAGGUGGCGUUCCUUGCAAACUAUUCUAAGAUAAGUGAUAACAACACAGCAGACAAUAUUUACUUUUAAGAUUUGUAUGAUUUUUUUUUUUUCCUUUCCCCAUUAACAGAUUCUUGCUAGUGUGGUAUUGUAAUUUAGUGUUUAUUGGUAACAACUGAGAAAGUGAAAUGUUCUGUUUGUAGGAAUGUAGCUUACAAACUUUGUAUGUUUGAACUGAAGAUUUGUUUGGAUAGAGAUCACAACCUUCUUCCUGUGGUAGGUCAGCUUAAUGGGUAUAUAUGAUUGUUGUAUUGUGUGGAAAGUUAAGUACAUGAAACUUUUUAAUUUAUAAACUGGGCUUGAGAGAACCUCCAGAAGAAAGUUGGGGAACUUAGCUUAUGCAAGGUGUAUUGUGAAUUUUAAGGAUAUCUCAAAUGCCACGGAGGAAGGAUUUUUGCAGAAGAAAAGAUAGAAGAAAUGCUCGUGUGGCCUUCCUUUUGCAUUCAUACUGCUGUCUUUUGAUUGGUCUCUAGCUUGUUGGAUCUAGCUUCUGGACAUUGUAUAAACAAGAUACCCUUUAGGAAUUCUGCAUUUAUGUCAGCUAGUAGUUGAAUCAUCCCUGCAAAAUGUGUAGUUUUCCACUGGGCAUAGUACUUCUGUCAGAUCUUAUGCAAAUUGCAACAUGUAUUUUUGAUUCAACACAUCUCAGCUCUGAUCUCUCUCUUGUGGGUUUUUUUGUUCUUUUUUUCUUUCUUUCUUUUUUGCCUCCCUCCCCUUUACUCCUGUGCUUGUGCUACCUUAUCCCUGUACUGCUAGAAUGAUUUCCUUAUUUUUUAAACCAUCCGUUGUUACUGUUUUCGGAAGACAGAGGCCAUUGCAUGAUGAGUGGAAAACCAUGUGAAUAAGUUAAGUAUCUUCACAUUUGUCUUUGCCUUGCUUUUAGACUGGAAGCUCUUCAGAACAAGCAUUAACUUUAUACAGGUUGUUAUGGAUUUAAUGAACUGAAGGCAAAUGAUUGUCUAUAGUGAGUUUUCGCUUUUAAGCAGUGCAAGCACUGAUUGAUCAAUUGUUGGCUUAUAAUAAGAGAGAACGUAUAUGGGUGGAUUUUUUGCUGGUUUUUUUGUUUGUUUCGUUUUAAUUCAAUGGUCAAAGGAGAACUGGCUGUGCUAUUUGAGCCUGGUUUUAAAUUCAGAACAGAAUAGCUUAGCCACACAUUUUAUUGGCUUUAUUAUCCUCUUAAAGAGAAAGUUAAGUUUGCGAAUGUUAUCUAGCUCUGAUAACCAACGUUUUUUUAAUAAGUAAAAAUCUUAGAAGUGUGUUAGCUCUGGACAAUGGGGAAAGAAGCCUGGGAAGUAGGACAAUGAGGCUUAACCAGACUGGUUAAAAGCAACUGCAGGGAUUGAAAGGGUUUAUCCAAAGCUGUUUUGAAUGUAACAGGCUGUUUUCUCUGCAUGUCUGACAGUUGGACUUUUUUGAUUCUCUUUGGAAAUGGUCUUUGUAAGAAUCAUCAUGUAUGCUGUUCCUUAUGAAUUUUCAUGUUACGGUUUGUUCAUUUCACCAGGAUAAAUAUUCCAGGGUUUGCACUGGACCAGGUAAUACUGCUUAUUAAUCCCUUUCCUGAAAAGAGGAAUUGUAGUAUUGAACUAUUAUCUAAGCUUGGUUAUUACAGAGGUUCCUGGAGACCAAAGCCUAAUCUGAGUCUCUUGAAAGAAAUGUUGAGUCCUGACAGCUACAAGGGAUGCAGUCGAUAUUCAGAGAGAAUAGCAGUGCAGCUUGCGUUGGGGUCAUGAUGCAAUCUUCUAGUAAGUGGUGUACUUGAGUGUUCUCACAUAAUGUACUAUUCACUGUAAUGCAUCUAUAAGAAGCACUUGUGUCCUGAUAAGAUGUUGUGAUACUUCACCGCUCCUGUGAAUUAAUUCACUUUGUCUGGAGAGUAUGUAUUUCUGUAUUUUGCAUUUUAAAGCCAGGACUUAGCAAUCCUGUAUGUCUCAUCCUAUUACUUGUCAUGCAGUUACUGUCUCUUUAGAACAAACGUGUAUUCCUGUCUGGGCUUAUUAGCAUUAAUAGCUGUUCUGGUUACCCAGUGGAAUACUGAUGCACAAUGCUAGCAACUGGGAAUGCGAAGAAGGUAGCCUUUAAGGGAAGGCACAAUGCAGGGAUUAAAGAGGGCAUUGCUUUAGAAAAAUGCUGGUGUUCCUUAAAGUCAAACUGCAGCAGACACUGCGGUUGAGGUUAAACUUAGCUGACGCAUUGAAAAUAAAUUGAGAUCUUUUAAAGCUAUUGAUUUUGUUUGGAAGGCUGCCACUUCCAUCAGGAGAAAAUAAGAUUGAGAAACUUGGUUUGUGUCCUACUUAUAGUGUGCUUAAAUAGUUCUCCUUUACUAAGCGUGGGGAGUUCUGGUAUUUGGAAAGGGUCAUUGUUUUUCCCGAGUCCAAACUGCAUGCAAUAUCUAGCCUAUUUCCUAGCUAGAAAUCCUGCAAUAGCAGUCUUCCACAUCUGUAGGAAUUCAGAAGUUUGGGUUUUUUCUGACUUAAGGCAUAUCUGUUUCCACACUGAAAAGCAAGUCACGUAGUUUUCAUGGCUGUAAGCAGCAGUACAACCUGUUCCUUUUAAGUUGUUCAGUGCUAUGUAGUCUCACUUUCCCAGUUCUUUUUUUUUCUUGUAUAAAAGAAACCCAUACUUUGCUUGCUUUUAGUAUUUUCUAUCUUACUUUGUAAAAUUUUAGAUUCCAUUCUUUCUUAUCUAGCCUUUCCCAAGAGUAGCUUUGAUAGAUCUGAGGAAGUAACUUUGGUAAUGCAACUUUCCUCAUUUCCUGUAUUUCAUUUACUUUGUCAUUCUGAAGAGCCAUGACUAGCGGUUUCACAAACUUACAUUUCCAUUAUCUAAAAGUGUAAUUAAGUGUUGAUUCUCCAAUUUUAGAUCUGUAAGUUCAAUACUCAGUAAAAUGCUAUGAAGUGUAAUUUUUCUUGAGGGAGGUAAAAAAACCAUCUUGAUGGAGAAGGAAGCAGUGAAGAGUAUAAGUUAGGAGGAAGCUAUUCAAAAACAGGAGUUUCUUUGUGGAGAUUACAUUGCAUUUUAGUGAGCUAAAACAGGAAGGUAUUUGUACCUUACUUGUGUGCAGGUUAGCAGUCUGCUGCUCUCUCUGUGAGCAAGGUAUGUUGAGCAAUAUACUGAGUUGAAAGAGACAGUAAAAAUGUGGAAGAAGUUCUGCUUGUGCCAGAAACUGUCACCAGUAUUUUACAAACAAGGCCUGACUCCAGUCUCUGCUGGCAGUGGGCUUUGUGAUGCUAAUCCACCCACUGCCUCUCUUCUGAUGUGUCCACAGUCAGAGUAUCUCACCGAGUCACCUUGUUAAUUCUGUGGCUUUGCUGAAACGGUUUCCGGUUUUCCAGAAUUAGAAUGUGAAUUUGACCACAACUGUAGUAUUUUCUCAGAAUUUUUUAAAAUGUAUCUGUAAACAGAGAAAAGAGGAAUACUUCAUUUGGUGUUCAGCAACUUUCCUUUUCCUAGAUGGGCAAUUGUGGGCUGUAGCCCAUGUGUCAGUAGCAAGUUACUAUACAGACAGCAUUUGCUCUGAUAUAAAGAAAGAAUGGCAAUAAAGGGGAUUAGUGGCUUAGAAAUAAGAUUAAAGGAAACGGAAUUGAAGUAAAAGGCUAAGACUGAUAAGUGAUUGAUAUGUAAAAUCUCAAUAUAUAAAUAGCUGUUGUCAUUGAUGUUAACUAUUGCCUCCAGUAUGAUAAAAACAGUCCAGCUAACCUUUGUCUGUAGGGGUGGGUAUGAAACUCUGUCCUGGUGGUAGUUGAACAGUCUUGCAUUGAUGAAGAAGCAUAGCUCAUACCAAACUUAAAAAAAAUCCCAAAGCUAUAGAAGUAGGAAACCCCUCUAUCCACAUCUUAUAAUUAUCUUAUACUGUAUUUUUAGUUAUUUUUUUUUUUUAGUGAUGUUAAAGUUAGAAUCUGCCACACAUGGUAUAAUAUGUAUAUCCAUAACUGAGGAGAAAGAUGAGUAGAUGAAUCUACAGAUCAGUUAAGCCAGUGCUGAGUACACCUGUAUUUGACCAACCAAUAGUUUCAGCAUGGUGGAUGAAGAUACAGUGUAAGACUUACAGGAAAUGUUGUCAGAGUUGGAAUUUGGCCAGGAUGCUGUGUUUUCCUUAUUGCCUUUGUUGCUGUUAAAGGACCACUUGUUCAUUAAAAUUAUCAAAACAAUUACCUUGGAAAGAGACAGACCAGCAAGCACAGUAUUCUUGUAAUGCAUGUAUGCACGUGGGAAGAAAAACCUGCACCUCAAGAGCAGCACAAAAGAAUUUCAGCCAGUAAGUCAGCUUCAUCGGGGGACCAACUUAAGUGCCUCUAUGCAAUUACAUGUAGCAUGAGGCAUAAACAAGGACUUAGAGGUGUGAGCACACUUGCAGGGCUAUGAUCUCAUUGGCAAGAUGGACAUGUGGUGGAUGGCUCCUGUGACUAGAGUUUUGGAAUGGAAGGGUACAGGCUCUUUAGGAAGGACAGGCAGGGGAGAUGGGGGUGUCACCCUUUAUGUCAGUGACCAGCUGGAGUGCAUAGAGCUCUGCCUGGGGAUGGAUGAGGAGCUGACCAAGAGCUUAUGGGUCAGGAUUAAAGGGAGGGUGGGGACAGGUGACAUUACAGUGGGUGUCUGCUACAGGCCACCCGACCAGGAAGACUGAGUGGAUGAGGCCCUCUAUAGACAGAUAUAGUAGCAGCCUCAUGUUCACAGGUCCUCAUGGGGAAUUAAACCACCCUGAUAUCUGUUGGAGGGACAGCACAGCAGGGCGUAAGCAAUCCAGGAGGUUUUUGGAAUGUGUUGAUGACAACUUCCUUCUCUAAGUGAUGGAGGAGCCAACGAGGAGAGGUGCUGUGCUGGACCUUGUUCUCACCAACAAGGAGAGGGGCUGGUGGGGAAUGUGGAGCUCAAGGGCAGCCUUGGCUGCAGUGACCACGAAAUGGCAGAGUUCGAGAUCCUUAGGGCAGCGAAGAGGGCGUGCAGCAAGCUCGCUACCCUGGACUUCAGGAGAGCAGACUUUGGCCUCUUCAGGGAUCUGCUUGGUAGAGUACCAUGGGAUACAGCCCUGGAGGGGAGAAGGGCCCAAGCAAGCUGGUUAAUAUUCAAGGAUCACCUCCUCCAAGCUCAGGAGCAAUGCAUCCCAACGAAGAGGAAGUCGGGCAAAAACACCAGGAGGCCUGCGUGGAUGAACAAGGAGCUCCUGGACAAACUCCGACACAAAAAGGAAGCUUACAGAAGGUGGAAGCAAAGGCAGGUAGCCUGGGAGGAAUACAGAGAAAUUGUCCAAGCAGCCAGGGAUCAGGCUAGGAAAGCCAAAGCCCUGAUAAAAUUAAAUCUGGCCAGGGAUGUCAAGGGAAACAAGAAAAGCUUCUAUAGGUACAUCAGUGAUAAAAGGAAGACUAGGGAAAAUGUGGGACCUCUCCAGAAGGAAACGGGAGGCCUGGUUACCCGGGACAUGGAGAAGGCUGAGGUACUCAAUGACUUUUUUGCCUCAGUCUUCACCAGCAAGCGCUCCAGCCACACCGUCCAAGUCACGGAAGGCAAGGGCAGGGACUGGGAGAAUGAAGAACUGCCCACUGUAGGAGAAGAUCAAGUUUGAGACCAUCUAAGGACCUGAAGGUGCACAAGUCCAUGGGACCUGAUGAGAUGCAUCCACAGGUCCUGAGGGAACUUGUGGAUGAAAUGGCUAAGCCAUUAUCUAUCAUAUUUGAGAAGUUGUGGCAGUCCGUGGAAGUUCCCACUGACUGGAAAAGGGGAAACAUAACCCCCGUUUUUAAAAAGGGGAAAAAAGGAAGACCUGGGGAACUACAGGCUAGUCAGUCUUACCUUUGUGCCUGGCAAGAUCAUGGAGCGGAUCCUCCUGGAAACUACACUAAGGCACAUGGAAAAUGAGGUGAUUGGUGACAGCCAGCGUGGCUUCACUAAGGGCAAAUCGUGCCUGACAAAUUUGGUGGCCUUCUACGAUGGGGUUACAGCAUUGGUGGAUAAGGGAAUAGCAACGGACGUCAUCUAGCUGGACUUGUACAAAGUGUUUGACACUGUUCUGCAUGACAUCCUUGUCUCUAAAUUGGAGAGACUUGCACUUGGUGGAUGGACCACUCUGUGGAUAAGGAAUUGGCCAGAUGGUCACACUCAAAGAGUUGCAGUCAAUGGCUCUGUGUCCAAGUGGAGACCAGUGAUGAGUGGCGUUCCUCAGGGGUCUGUGUUGGGACUGGUGCUGUUUAACAUCUUUGUUGGCGACAUGGACAGUGGGAUUGAGUGCACUCUCAGCAAGUUUGCCAAUGACACCAAGCUGUGUGGUGUGGUCAACACGUUGGAGGGAAGGGAUGCCAUCCAGAGGGACCUGGACAAGCUUGAGAGGCAGCACGAUACAAUCUGCUCUACAUCGUUCAAUAGGUACUGAGAGAAAGAAUGUAAGACAUGAAAUGGAGCCAUCCUCCCAGUUUCUCUCAGUGGCAGAUUCUGAGUAGAAGCUCCCAAACUGUGUACACAGCAGCAGCAGGUUGAUGAUCACAGGACACCAGGACCCAUUACCGCUGUAUUGACAGUCAGGAUAGUGACAGGUACUGCUACCUGGCAUGUUUAAACAGGCCCUGUGCUGCUUGCAGUUGUUCUACUUUUUUAGCUCUCUAUAAUUUCCUUUCAUUCAACUUCCUCAUUUUCUUUUUUUUUUUUUUUUUUAAAGUUCCUAUUUCUAAAGGAAAAAGUUGUGGUGAAUUUUUUUUUUUAGCCUUUUCCUGUCUGGCAAAGAUACCAGGUAUACGUAUGUAGUAAUUGUAAGUCGUUCUUCUGAAGCUGUGUCUUUAGCCAGGUCCUGUGCUUGCUCAAAUCUGCUUCAAGGUGUUUUUCUUACUGGGGGAUUGAGUGAGAUUCUCUGGAAAAUUGAUCUGAUAUCUUUAAAAAGAAAGAAAUCUGUACAUUGUCCUCCUCUGAAAUUCUUAAUUUCUUAUUUUUCAGCUUUGUAGCCUUCCCAAUCUCCUUGGCAAGAACCACCAAGUUUCUUGUGGAUGCUACCACUACUGUGAUUGCUUCCUUGAUAGUAUAGAUCUUAUACAAUCCUGGGUGGAUUAAAAUAUAUUAUAGAAAUUUAGCUUGACUUUUCUCACCUUCCUUUUGUUUGUGUGUCUGCUUUUGUAAUGCAUGAUGCUGCUUCCCCUCUGGCAUGCCCUUGCCUGUCAGCACUCCAUAAUUUGUAGGGGUGGCAUUAGUUUCUGAGUAAGUAGUCCUGCCAUCAAGUGUAAGAUUCCUUUUAUAUCAGUAUUCUCCUUUUAGACUGAAAUUUAGACACCCUUGAAGUGGUCAGGCAGUUCGACUAGAUGAUCGUUGUAGGUCCCUUCCAACUGAAAUAUACCAUUAUAAAUUUAUAGUUUAUCUUAAUAUCUAGAUUUCAUGGAGGUGAACAGAAACACCUACCCAUUUCUUCCUGCAACAGGCACUUAAUGUGCCUGAACUUUGACUUCUUCUCUGUCCUUUAUUUAGGGUGUGGUGUUUUCAUGCCUAUCACAGGGGAUUUUACGCUGUGCUAUAAUAACUUAUUCUAUUGCUUCUGAGUCUAAGCCUCUUCAGGCCUGAUUCGAAUUUUGGUAGAAGUAGAGCCCAUUCUUGUGUCUAGUAUUUUUUUGUCAAAAAGCAUUGUUUUGUGUUUUGGGAUAUUUUAGGAAAUAGGAAGCAGAAAUACCUUUAUCUUGCAGCCUUUUUAUCACCCAUUUUCAGCAUGCCUUAAUAUCUAUUGAUCAAUGUGCUGUACUUUUAAUCAGUAAUGUUGCAUGAAACAGCUCUUGCUCUUUAGCCUCUUACCUUACUGGCUAAACUUUGUGUCUAGGACUAUAUUUAUGUUCUGUAUCUGAUAUGCACAAAUGUUGCUGUUGCUGACUGCUUCUGUUGUGGCCCAGGUGAUGCCCAGGGAUGCUUUAUAAGAAUUUCGUCGUUUACAGUUGACCUGAUAACUAUCAGCUGCCUUCUUUUCGUUGGGAUGCAAGAAGGUUUUCACCUGCCCAAGGGGACACUGACAUCUAGUGGAUGGGUUCCACAGACACAGGGCAAGCAAACUGCUGCUUUAAGGCUGUCUUUCUUCUGGAUUUUACCUAAAUUUUGCUUUUGUUUAG